RNA transcript from Osmerus eperlanus (European smelt), 2530 nucleotides. It is a transcript of the gene named zinc finger protein 397-like, with no coding region annotated. The transcript is spliced from 4 exons. Lineage: Eukaryota; Metazoa; Chordata; Actinopteri; Osmeriformes; Osmeridae. The record is from RefSeq and is a predicted model, not a curated record.
UCAGACUGCUUCGUGUUGCUUUGUUUAGCUAGACGUCAAACCCUGGCAGUGAAUUUGGGUCGCUAAAUUGGUCAUCUACAGAAUUCUAGGGGUUUGAUCAUAGAAAACUUGAACACAACUUUUGUUCACCUUACCAAGAGGUUUGUUUGGACAAUGGACUUGUUUAUUUAGCUACACUUAUUGAAGGUGUGUUUCCAGACUGCCAGAAGCCAGCUAGCUAGCUAAAGUGAGUUUGCCAAGAUAGGCUAGCUUCCUACCUGUCCUCACCAACUUAUCUGGAGGGGAACAAGCAAAGUGACAACAAAGAGACACGACCGCUACGACAAAGGAUGUCUAAGCUGGAGCGUCUGAAUGCCCGUGUGGCGCGGCUUCUGACCGUAGCGGUACACGAGGUUCUAGACGUGGUGAAGGAGACGGUGUCGGAGUACCAGGAGAAAACCGCCAGGACCCUGAGAGAGAACGACAGUCUCAAGAGAAGAGUUCAGGAGCUCCAGGAGCAGUUGAAGAGCGAAAGUGCAGCUGCCCCACUGCUCUUCCCAGUCUCAGGAGGGAGAGCAGCUGUUGAGAAGCAGCAGGAGGACCAGACCUGGAGCCCCUCGUCCAGGCAGGACCAGACCUGGAGCCCCUCGUCCAGGCAGGACCAGACCUGGAGCCCCUCGUCCAAGCAGGACCAGACCUGGAACCCCUCCUCCAGGCAGCCUGACGCCACACAGGAACACACCUUCAUACCCACACAGGAACACACCUUCAUACCCACACAGGAACACACCUUCAUACCCACACAGGAACACACCUUCAUACCCACACAGGAACACACCUUCAUACCCACACAGGAACACUACAGAAAGGAGCAGGAUGUGGAGCUGGUAGAGUCGGAGUGUAAGUUCAGACUGGUGGUUCCUGAAGGCCUCGUGGUGCAUCCUGGGGUCUCCCCUCAGCUCAGCGAGGAGAGACAGUCCCUGGCCCUGCCCACACCAGCCCCGCCCACAGCACUGCGUGUCAUCAAAACAGACGUGGACACACCCUCCAUCAGGACUCUGACCACGCCCAGCGCCCCUCCCAUCAGUACUCUGACCACGCCCAGCGCCCCUCCCAUCAGCUCCUCCCUCCUGAAAGCCCAGCUGGGAUUAAACUUGACAGUCAUCAAAACGGAACCAGAGACGCCCGAGUGCUCCACCCCGCCCUCCGCCCCGCUCGGCGACAACCGAGGCGUCGAUCUGAGCUGCGGCUCCGCCGGACAUGACGCCGCCAAGUCCCCCGCGAGCGGAGCCCCCUACGGACUGUUCUACCUGCACCCCAGCCAGCCCCCCGCCGGCCGGAGGUUCAGCUUCGGCAGGACCGGCCGAGCCGCCCUGGACGCCCGCAGGAGCCGGCAGAUGUUCCGCAGGGACGAGCCCCAUGUGUGCUUCGUGUGCGGGAAGACCUUCAGCCGCGUGGGGAACCUGCGGAUCCACCAGCGCUGCCACACCGGGGAGAAGCCCUACGGCUGCCUGCAGUGCGGGCGAAGCUUCCGGCAGGCAGGAGACCUGAAGAAGCACAAGAGGGUCCACACCGGGGAGAAGCCAUACUACUGCCAGCAGUGUGGCAAGAGUUUCAGCAGGGGAGAGAACCUGAAGAGGCACCAGAAGAUCCACGUUGGAGAGACUUUACAGCUGCAGCAAGCGUGGAGGGAACACCAGACAAGCUAGACAUAGAAUGUGCAGGAAUGUAUCUUGCUUCAGAUGUAAAGGCUCUGCAUGUGGUGGAUGUUGGCGUUGGAAAGCUGCAGUGCUGAACAUGUGGUUGGUUCUGUCUGGGAGGUGGUCAGUGGGUUUUAGCAACUGGCAACUGGACUUAUUGACAAACUUUUGAUGACUGUUUGUUGUAUAUCAGUUAUAAAGGGGAUAGAGACAGACAGCAGGGUGAGGGACAGACAGCAGGGUGAGGGACAGACAGGUCCAGACAGACAGUAGGGUGAGGGACAGACAGGUCCAGACAGACAGCAGGGUGAGGGACAGACAGGUCCAGACAGACAGCAGGGUGAGGGACAGAUAGGUCCAGACAGACAGACAGCAGGGUGAGGGACAGACAGGUCCAGACAGACAGCAGGGUGAGGGACAGACAGGUCCAGACAGACAGAAGGGUGAGGGACAGACAGGUCCACACACAGACAGACAGCAGGGUGAGGGACAGGCAGGUCCCCACAGACUGACGUGGGAUAGAUCAGAUCCAAGCAGUUUAUGUAUGUGGUUGGCUCAUCCAGCUGUCCCUCUGCAUACUGAUUGUCUUGUUACAUUUACAUUUAGUCAUUUAGCAGACGCUCUUAUCCAGAGCGACUUACAGUAAGUACAGGGACAUUCUCCCCGAGGCAAGUAGGGUGAAGUGCCUUGCCCAAGGACACAACGUCAGUUGGCACGGCCGGGAAUCUAACUGGCAACCUUCGGAUUACUAGCCCGCUUCCCUCACCGCUCGGCCACCUGACUCCCUUGUUCUGAGUGAAGGAACGUCAACAACAUUGUCCUCCUGGUGGUGAAUAAAAACAACAGCCUCA